RNAcentral lists this long non-coding RNA (1539 nucleotides) under Panax ginseng (ginseng). RNAcentral's name for it is "long non-coding RNA (PGIN_LNC002848)". The record is from RNAcentral. Lineage: Eukaryota; Viridiplantae; Streptophyta; Magnoliopsida; Apiales; Araliaceae.
GAAAUGAGGCAUUUUCUCAAUUGUAUAAAACUUGAUAAUCAAGUAACUGAAACUACUGUAUAAAACUUAAUAAUCAAGUAACUGAAAUUUGCAAUGGAGUCCCUAUCAACCUUUACAAAUAGUCUCUAGUUUCUUCAUUCCUCACACUAGCUUCUCUGUUUUCCCCUGUUUUUGCUCUGUUUCUGGUACAUACCUCAAUUUCAUAGAAAUGGAAAUGAUGUGCGCUUCAAAACACCAGAAUCAAAGGCCUGCCCCAAAGAGAGGCCAGAUGAAGAAGAAGAUAAUAAGUCUAAUAUUCAAAUCCACUCUUGCAGUUGUGCCGGUCCGGUGCGAAGAAAAGGAAGGCCUCUUAGCUCAAUUUCUUCAACCCCACAUGAAGCUCCAACUGGGUAUAGAACAAGAGUCUCAGAUGGCCAUUUUCUCAUUAAUUAAUGUUUUUUAAUUUAAUUUUGGGAAACGUGUUGUUUCCAUUCCAAUCACAACUUGUGGAUAUCAUUCGUAUUCGAUUGAUAUGAAUAUUAAUUGUAUUUGAUUAGAAGGUAUCCAUAAAUAAACGAGUAUAAAUAGUGUAUAUAUAUAUAUAUCCAUCGAAUACCAUAUACGAAUAUAGAUAACGAACUUUUUUUUAUCCGGUUACAACACUAAUGAAACCAUCUGUUCAGGGGCGAAGCCAUGAGUAGGCUUUUGGGGCUGUAGCCUGGCCAAUUUUAUUUUUUUUACUAAAUAAACUAUAUAGGAGCAAUGUGCUCUGCCAUAUAUUGCACAAAAAAUAAAAAAAUAAAAAAAUAAAAUAAAUUAAACCAUUCUCUCUCACACGCAAAGAUACGUGAAUAUAUACGCGAGUGAAUAUAUACGCGAGCAGGGGCGAAACUAGGUAUUGUAAUGUGGGGUCAAUUGACCCCAUUAAUUUUUUAUAUAUAUAUGAUGUAAUAAUUUUUUUGUAAAUGUAAUUUAAUAAUUUAACUCACUAAAAUUUUUAAUUUAUAUAUAUAUAUAUAUAUAUAUAUAUAAUGUAAUAGAUUUUUGUGAGUAGAAUUUAGUAAUUUGACCCACUUCUGACUUCGCCACUGUACACGCGCACACAUAAUAUUGCAAGGCUCCACAAAAGGAAGAUUCCUGGCGCAUAAUAACAUCCGAGGCACAAAUUUACCACAUUAAUUUCCUCUCAACAAACCACAAAGUCGCAUAUGAAACCUCUCAACCACAUUAAUUUCCUCCCACUUUUUUUUUUUCCCUAUGGAUUCUCCGAAUUCCCUAUAAAACUAAAGGCUUAAAUUUUCAAAAAUAAGUUGCAACCUUAUAAAUUUAUAUAAGACAUUACUACAAGCAAGCUAGCUAGCUAGAACAAAAAUGUUUACGGAGAGUUGUAAUGGUAGUGGCUUUUAUCCUACCUACUCUUACCCUUGUGCUGGUUGCAGCGCAAGCAUCUACAGUUCCAACCUAGAGGCAUUGUCCCAGAAUCACGUAUCCAUGUGUACUGCAUGUCUGCAUGGCGCAGCAGCAGCUUUCCAAUAUGAAGCUCAAGCAGCUUCUCUUUCC